AUCUUGUCCCAUGGUCCCACUCCCUUAAUCUGUUAUUCCCUAGAACAUAGGAUUUUGCUCCAUUUCACUUCCUGGUAUGCCUUUAAUACUCAAACCAUAUAUUUUAUAUUUUGCCUUUCUAAGCUUGCUAUGCUUGUUCAAACUUCUCUUUGUGAGACUUAACCAGAGAACAAAGUCUCUGCUGGGCUUUUUUGAAACUUCCUUUGUCAGUGCAAUUAAUGCAAUUAAUCCAAGUCUCUUCACCUUACCGUCAGGCAGACUUUUCAGACAAGGGCAAAAAAGUAGCCCAAAAUACCAAAAUACCAAAAUACCAGGAAAACAGUCUAUGUCACAUACUGAAAUUCUCCUUUGAAAUCUCUUGGGCCAAGUCAACACAGUUCAAAUUACUCCCAGCAACAAAGUCUUCCAUAUUCCUACUAGAAUGACCCAUUAAGCCCCAUUUAAAGCAUUCCACUGAGUUCCAAAUCCAUGUCCAAAAAUCCACAUUUUUUUCAAAUAAAAGCAUGGUCAGGUUUAUCACAGCAAUACCCAAGUCCCUGGUACCAACUUCUGACUUAGGGUUUUACUGCUGUGAACAGACCCCAUGACCAAGGCAAGUCUUAUUAAAAAAAAAACAAAACAACAACAACAUUUAAUUGGGGCUGGCUUACACGUUCAGAGGUUCAGUCCAUUAUCAUCAAGGUGGGAGCAUGGCAGUAUCCAGUCAAGCAUGGUGCAGGCAGAGCUGAGAGUUCUACAUCUUCAUCCAAAGGCAGCUAGUGGAAGACUAACUUCCAGGCAACUGGGGUGAGAGUCUUCACAGUGACACACCUACUCCAACCAGGUCACACCUAUUCCAACAAGGCCACACCUCCAAAUGGUGCCACCUCCAUUGGUCCAAGAAUAUAUAAACCAUCACACACGGGUUCAAGGAGUGGCUAGAGCAUUAUGCACCUCUAUUUUUCUAAAUCAGUGAAGCUAGUUCUGCUAACAAUGAAAUCUAUUUUGCCAAUUUCAGGGCUUCUGUGACCUUUUACAUUCUGUCAGGAUCUUUCAUUCCCCGCUUCUUCUAGUUACUAGUUCUAAUCUUAGAACUAAACUGCAAUCUCUUCUUCAAGGUUCUGCAGAGACUGGUAUUGUUGUCUUAGUACUAACAGCUGGACAGCACCAAUCCUUUCUCUAACAAAGGUCACCAAUUUGUUAAGAAUUAGUGGGCCACAUGUCAGCAGUAAGAGCAAAAUUAUUAGAGGGCCCAUCAGAGUAGAGAUGAGGGUGGUCAACCAAGGAGAUUUAUUCUUCAGGAGCUCGCUUUACGUGAGAGGCAUGAAUCUAAGCAGAGAUGCCUUCUACUUUGACAGCAGUGGGGGUGGUCAGCAGCACGAUGUAAGGGCCUUUCCAAUGAGGUUCUAGAUUCCCAGCUCGGUGUCGUCAGAUGAGAACUGCGUCUCCCACCUGGAACUGGUAUGGUACCAUUAAUUCUGGUUCGUAGGCCUCGAACUGCUCCCAGGUGGUGUUUCUGACCACUUCUAGGGCUUUCAUGCGUGUAAACAGUGGAGGACCAGGGUUAAAUUCUAGAGGAUCUAACACUCUCCCCACUUCAUUGAGUGGGAGAGGCCCCCCCGUACAGGAUUUCAUAUGGAGUGAGCUUAAAUUUUCCCAGUGUGUUCCUGAUGGGGAACAAGGCAAAGGGAAAGAGAGCUGUCCAGUUAUUCCCGCCGGUCUCUAAGGUCAAUUUAGUCAAGGUCUCUCUUAGAGUUCUAUUCAUCCUUUCUACCUGUCCUGAACUCUGGGGUCUAUAAGCACAAUUUAAUUUCCAAUCAAUCCCCAGUUGGAUGGCCAGUUCCUGGCUUACCUGUGCAACAAAGGCGGGUCCAUUGUCAGACCCUAUUACCUUAGGUAUUCUGAACCGUGGAAAAAUUUCUUCUAGGAUCUUCUUAACCACAACAUUGGCAGUUUCUUUUUUCGUUGGGUUGGCCUCCACCCAUCCUGAAAAGGUAUCUAUAAGAACUGCUAUUUGUGUAGAUGUUGAUGGGCCUAACAGCCUUCUGAAGGGCCUUCUACUAGGAAGCUGCUUCUGUGUACCAGUUUGGAACGCCUGGCCACGGCUGGUCGCGUAGAUCACUAUGGAUCCCAGUUUCUUCCGCAAGGAUGUCUGCACAGCAGUGAACGGGUGAGGAAUUGUCCAUUUCAGGCCGGAGGGUAGCAGGAUUAAGGAUAGCAGGAGGAGCAAACACGACCCAUUCAGUCAGCAACAGACUCUAGUAGUGGGUCAUUCAGGCGUUUGUCACGCAUUGGUCUGUGGGCUGGCAGAUAAUGCUUCAAGAGAGUGGGAGGCUACCACAGUUAUUUGUUGUCUCAAAGUUAACUUGUCGGCAUAUUUAACGAGUAAGGCUACUGCAGCAAUGGCCUUUAAACAUGUGGGCCAUCCGCUGGCCACUGGGUCCAGCUUCUUAGACAAAUAUGCCACGGGCCUCUUCCACGACCCUAGAGCCUGAGUAAGAACUCCUCUGGCCACCCCUGCCCUCUUAUCAACAUAGAGGAUGAAGGGUUUGGUUAGAUCUGGCACAGUCAACAGUGCCUCUUUAAUAUUUUCAAAGCCUCUCAGAUAUUCUGAUGUCCAUCUGAAUUCUCCACUUUCCUUGGUCAGGGGGUACAAGGGGCAGCCAGUGUUGCAAACCCAGGUAUCCAAAGUCUGCAGAACCCAGUGGUGCCCAAGAUUCUUUUACCUGUCUUAGAGUAGCCUGUGCCGUUAUUUGAGUCACAGUCCUUUUUCUUUGCAAUAGGCACAUUGGUCCUUCUCUAAAGUCUUCUGGAGCCAGGCGUGGUGGUGCACGCCUUUAAUCCCAGCACUCGGGAGGCAGAGGCAGGCGGAUUUCUGAGUUCGAGGCCAGCCUGGUUUACAAAGUGAGUUCUAGGACAGCCAGGGCUACACAGAGAAGCCCUGUCUCGAAAAACAAAACAAAAAAACCAAACAAAAAACCCCAAAACAAAAACAAAACAAAACAAAACAAAACAAAAAACCAAACAACAAAACCAAAAGAAAAGAAAAGAAAACAAAAAAACAAAACAGUCUUCUGGACGGAUCUUCUUCCUCCAGGUCUAGGUUCCCUGUUGCCCAGGUACGCUGUCUGUCUAUUCUCAGGCCUGUGCUCUCCUACUACUGCGACCAAUAUCCUGCUUAAGUUCCUCUCCUGUCUUCUAUCCCUUUUAUUCUCCCUCUCUUCUUCUUUGCGCUUUUCCCUCUCUUUCUUCUAUUCCUCUGUCUCUCUCUUGUGAUACACCUUUUCUGCCUCCUUGACUAAAUCUUGUAAAACCAUGGCAUGUAAUCCUUCUAGUCUCUGUAACUUUCUCUUAAUAUCUGAUGCUGAUUGCCCUAUAAAAGCCAUAGCAACCAUGGCUUGUUGACCCUCAGAGGUCGGGUCAAAAGGAGUAUAGCGCCUAUAAGCUUCCAUCAAUCUUUCCAGAAAAAUAGACAGGGGCUCGGUAGGGCCCUGCAUCACCUCUUACCUUAGCCAAAUUGGUGGGGCAUCUCGUGCUCCCUUUAAACCCGCGACCAGAGCCCAGCGGUAAACUGCCAACUUCUCACUACCUUGAGCCAUGUUGUAGUUCCAAUCUGGCUGGUUCAGAAGGAACCCAGCAUUAAUCUCAUUAGGUAGGUUGGUUGAGACCCUAUUCACUCUGGGAACAUUUUUCCAAGCCUCCAGGAGAAUGUGCUCUUUAACUUCAGUGGUAAACAGAACCUGGAGGAGCUGCUGACAAUCAUCUCAAGUGGGUUAUUAAGAAAACAUAAGAGACUCUAUCAGCCCAGUCAGGCUGGCCAGAUUCUCGGAAAAGGAGGCAUGGUUAGCUUUGCAAUUUUACAAAUCAGCCGAUGAAAAAGGCCAAUAUUGUAGGGUCUGCAGAGAUAGUGGGUCCAUGGGCAGGUCGCCCACAGCUCACCAAGGAAAAGCAGAAGUGGUGUCAGGAGCUCCAUCUGCUGGGGGACUCUGGGCUCCAGGUCCCGGCCGCUGGUCCUCCAGCUGGGCCACCAGCGGUCCCAAGGCCGGGUGCAGAGACCUGUGCAGGAAUGGGACCCAGUGGGGGUAGAAGAUAGGGCAGAUGGGGAGGAGAUUCUGGCCACUCAGGAGGCCCCUCAAUAUUAGGAUAGAUCUUGGGGGGAACUGUGGGUUGAAGAGGAGGCUCCAUUUCAGGUGGAAUCUUUGGUUUUGCUCUUGUUUCAUGAAGAGUCAGGGCUCAGGAGCCUGACCUACGCUGGGGAAUCCAUGGUUUGAUCCAUGAUGUUGGAUUCUGGACAAGGUCCUGCCAGACAGUAAUAUAAGGCUGUUGAUCCGGGUGGGACCCAGGUCCACUCUGAAAAACAAUGGCUUUAACUUCAAAGAUAAGAGUCAAAUUAAAAGUCCCCUCUGGUGGCUAUCCUACAUCAAAAGCCGGCCACUAGGAGGUGCAAAAAUCUACCAAGGUCCUUUCUUAAUUUCUACUGAAAGAUUAUGGGCCCUUGACCUAACUUCAGUCCAGUGGUCUAAGGUCAAACUUAGGGGGGGCUUGUUACAGUCUGUCCCAUUGUCCAAAUCACAGAAAACACAAAAUAGACACAAAACACACACACACACACACACACACACACACACAGACACACACACACUGACAAAUGCCCCAAACAGACACAAACACACACACACACACUGACAAAUGCCCAUCUUCUAAUGGACAGACAAAACCAACUCAGAAAUGCAAAAGGUCAGGAAAGUACGUAAGUCCUCCAAUCUAGGAAGACUACCGACUCUUCACUCCCCACUCCAGAUGGACUCCUGGAGUCCUUCCCCUCGCUCCGGGGCAUCCCCCAGGAGUGGCAGCCGGUGAUUCCAGCACAUCUGCUGUUCGCACUCCAUGCCUCACCCCGAGGCGCGGGUCUCCAUUUCUCAUGAAACAUCACGGCUGCAAAUUUCAGCACCGAACAUCGCCGGCUCACAGAAAUAUUUUUAGACAACAAAUCUCACCUCCAAGUGGGUCUUCGGAGAUGUGGGUGGUCGCGCCAAUCCUGGGACAAGCCCCCAAUGAAAGACCCCCAAAGGGAGACCCUCAUUCAAGUCUCGGGAUAAUAGUGGACCCCCAAGAACUCACGAGAGUCCAAACUUGAUGCAAACCACACGAGGCUUUAUUUGGGGAAAGCCAGAGCUCUGGGGACGACUCGUAUCUCAUGCAGGGGUAGAGGAGUUGAUCCCGAGGGGAAAGGGGUCCCAGUUUUUAUAGGCCCUCGGGGGGGAAAGGAGAAGGGGGAAGUAGGGGAUUUCCAGAUCUAAACAAUGUCUAUUCUAAAGUGAUUUCUCAAGAAAUGGGUAUGGGAGGGGUAUAAGGAAAGAGUCUGGUGCAGGUGCAGCAAAUCCGAUUGGCCCCGGCUGUGGUUGCUGGGGAGAUUUUCCAACUCUUCCCCAGCAACCAAUAUUACAAACACCUGGCAGUGGGCUUCAUCAGUGGGCACACACAUGGGUUCAAGGAAUGGUCAGAACAUUGGCAGACACACAGUGACUUAGUUAGGGUUUUACUGCUGUGAACAGACACCAUGACCAAGGCAAGUCGUAUAAAAAAACAAUAUUUAAUUGGGGCUGGCUUACAGGUUCAGAGGUUCAGUCCAUUUAUCAUCAAGGUGGGAGCAUGGCAGUAUCUAGUCAAGCAUGGUGCAGGCAGAGCUGAGAGUUCUACAUCUUCAUCCAAAGGCUGCUAGUGGAAGACUGACUUCCAGGCAACUGGGGUGAGAGUCUUAAGCUCACACCCACAGUGACACACCUACUCCAACCAGGUCACACCUAUUCCAACAAGGCCACACCUCCAAAUGGUGCCCCUUAACAGAGGAAUGGAUACAAAAAAAUGUGGUACAUUUACACAAUGGAGUACUACUCAGCUAUUAAAAGGAAUGAAUUUAUGAAAUUCCUAGGCAAAUGGAUGGACCUGGAGGGCAUCAUCCUGAGUGAGGUAACACAUUCACAAAGGAACUUACACAAUAUGUACUCACUGAUAAGUGGAUAUUAGCCCAAAACCUAGGAUACCCAAGAUAUAAGAUACAAUUUGCUAAACACAUGAAACUCAAGAAGAAAGAAGACUGAAGUGUGGACACUAUGCCCCUCCUUAGAAUUGGGAACAAAACACCCAUGGAAGGAGUUACAGAG
Molecule: long non-coding RNA, 6143 nt
Filed under: Mus musculus (house mouse)
Lineage: Eukaryota; Metazoa; Chordata; Mammalia; Rodentia; Muridae
Source: RNAcentral